This 309-nucleotide long non-coding RNA is filed under the name Salvia miltiorrhiza (redroot sage). RNAcentral's name for it is "long non-coding RNA (SMIL_LNC009361)". Lineage: Eukaryota; Viridiplantae; Streptophyta; Magnoliopsida; Lamiales; Lamiaceae. The record is from RNAcentral.
CGCAAGCUAAACUAGAACCGAACUCUAACACUUGAGUUCAAAGCAAUUCUAGUCUAUUACAAAUAAGUCCUAUGAAUUUUGGUAUCAUCAAAAUAAGGGUUAUGAUAUUCCACAAGGUUCCCAACAAAUCAGCAUCUCUGACUCAACUAAAUUAUCAAAUCUCUUCACUCUAACUCUAUCAUUGGGUUGUCCACUCAUAUCUCUAUUUAAAAGACAAUCUGUCUUAUCUGGUCAUAAAUAAAAAAUUAAAAAAAAUAAUCUCGCAUCUCGGCAUCUCAGUACUCUCAUUAGUGUUAAGACACUAUUUCU